CCCCAUGAAGCUUUGGGGUGCCGGUUUGCACCCCCGAAGCUUUGGGGUGCCCUGGGCAGGAGGCAGCCCCAGCGCCGGGGUUUGGGCUGGCAGGGACAAUCCUGCCCAAAUUCACCCCUGGAGGUUCUGGGGCAGAAAUGUGGACUUUUCCUUCUCUGUGCUUCCACCGCUGCUCACAACAGGAAGAGGCUCCAGGAGAAGGUUUGCAUUCAGAUCCACACUGUGUGAGCCUUCUGCCAAGUUUUGAGGGUUUUCUACAAAUCCAUUUCCCACAAAGAGCCACUGACAGAGCCCUCUCCCCUCCUCCAAAGCUCUGAGAGGCAGAAGCCACGGGCACAUGGAUUUUCUGCAGGGAUUUAAAUUCAUCUCUGUCUGGUCAUAACUAAAAACCAUUCCCAGGAAGCAGGAUGGGGAAGAAAAACAGACUAUGGAAAUAAAGGCCCUGCUGCCAGAGAGGGUGUGCGGCAGGCAGAAGAGAUUUUCCAGUCUUUUUCCUUGAGAAAUCUGCCAAACCCAAGCCUAAGACGAGCCCUGAGGGCACGCGGUGCCCUAAGCUGCAGAUCUCUAACCCUUAUCUCAACAUCGGCUCUGUGUGUGCGGCAGCGGGAAGCCAUUAGCAGAGUUAAUUACAGGGGCUGGGAAUGCUCCUCUCCCUUUUCCUGCCCUUUCUUGGCGCUCUGACCCCACCCCAGGACCCUCAGGCGGCAGCAAGAGGGGACAGGGGUCAUUAAACCAGCGCUAAUCACCGCCGGGGCUCUGCGGGCUGGGCUUAACGGGUAAUUAGCGCUGCCGCAGCUGCUGCUAAUUAAAGCCUGCUCCAAUCAGCGCUUCCAGUCUCGGGACUGACGGUGGGAAGGUUCAAGGAUUGGGAGAAGAGCCUGGGGGACCCUGGAGAAAGGGAUUGGGGAGGGACUCCUGCUGCUGCUCACGCCAGGUGCUCGCUGGGGAGUUUUCCCUUUUCCUUUUUUCUCUUUUCUCCUGUUCAUUCCUCCUCCCCACACCUGGAAAAGGAAUUUUCCUGCUGCAGUUGGUGUUUAGCGCAAGCAGCAGGCGCUGAGGAUGGAUUCGUGCGUGUGAGGCUGGCUGGGCACCUUUAACACCGGGGGAAACGCGGAGAUGCUGCAAGGAGCGUGGAGGGGGGAAAAAAGCAGGAAUAAAUGCAAUUUUUCUCUUAGGAGAAUGUGCUGAGAGGAUAUCUGCUUGUAUGAAAAAUCACAGAAUAAUUUGGGCUGGAAGGGGCCUUAAAGGACCAUCCCACUGCCCUCCUGCCCUGCAGGGACACCUCCCACUGUCCCAGGCUGCUCUGAGCCCUGCCCAGCCUGGCCUUGGGCACUGCCAGGGAUCCAGGGGCAGCCACAGCUGCUCUGGGCACCCUGUGCCAGGGCCUGCCCACCCUGCCAGGAUUUCUUCCCUGUAUCCACUCUGCAUCCCCCGUUUUAGCUAAACCCUUGUGCUGUCCCUCCAUCCCUUGUCCCCAGCUCCUCUCCAGCUCUCCUGGAGCCCCUUUAGGCCCUGGCAGGGCUCUGAGGUGUCCCCAAACCCUCCUCUGCUCCAGGCUGAGCAAUCCCAGCUGUCUCAGCCUUCCCUCACAGGAGGAGUGCUCCAUCCAUGGAUGUCUUCAGUGAGAUAACCUUGAUAAAGAGAGUAAAAACCCCAAUUUUCCCUAACUGAGUGAUUAAAAUUCUCAUGCUAGCCAAAUUCUUUGAUUAAAAAGCUUCAGCAGCCUUGUGACCCCCUGAGUUCUCCUGGUUGCCACCCCUGCCACCUAUUUUACACUUAUGGUUUCCUUGCUGUUACAGUCAAAAUCCCCCCAAAUAAUAUUUUAUAUUAAAACAAAAAAUAUUUCAGUCACACGGCUCCUAAAAAUUAUUGCCAGUGCCACACACAAUAUAGAGCUUUCCAGGUUUGAAAAAAGAGAUCUCCUUAAAUCAAUGCACAGGUGGUACCCACCAGACCCACCCUGACACACCCAAAAAUAUCCACCUGCACAUCCCAGCGGGAGACACUGCAGAGCCAGGGGUUGAUGGAGCGGCACACGGGAAUGCUUCCGUGUUAGAAAGAACAAACACAGUUAGUUAUUAUAUUUGUCGUUAUAGUUAUGUAUUGACUUUUGUUUUGGAAAUUAUUAUUGAACACAAAAAUCCUGAUGCAGUACAACUUGUAAUUACUGCUUUAGAUAUAGUGUAAUCUGUCAGUUUAGGUAUGCACCCUGCAGCUUUUAGAAAUAGUAGUGUCAUAUAGUGUGAUAUGUACUAUUGUAUAUGUAAUACUGUAAUAUA
Long non-coding RNA from Passer domesticus (house sparrow), 2279 nucleotides. RefSeq lists it as uncharacterized. The record is from RefSeq and is a predicted model, not a curated record. The transcript has 4 exons. Lineage: Eukaryota; Metazoa; Chordata; Aves; Passeriformes; Passeridae.